This 379-nucleotide ribosomal RNA is filed under the name uncultured bacterium. RNAcentral describes it as "bacterial SSU rRNA". It matches the Rfam family "Bacterial small subunit ribosomal RNA", at positions 29 to 430 of the family's 1533-position model. The record is from RNAcentral.
AGCGAACGCUAGCGGCGGGCCUAACACAUGCAAGUCGAGCGGGGGAGCAAUCCCCAGCGGCGGACGGGUGAGUAACACGUAGGUUAUGUGCCCUUUGGUGGGGAAUAACCGUGGGAAACCAUGGCUAAUUCCGCAUAUCGAGCGAAAUCUUGAAAGCCUUCGGGCGCCAAAGGAGCAACCUGCGGCCCAUUAGCUUGUUGGUAGGGUAACGGCCUACCAAGGCGAUGAUGGGUAGCUGGUCUGAGAGGAUGAUCAGCCACACUGGAACUGAGACACGGUCCAGACUCCUACGGGAGGCAGCAGUGGGGAAUAUUGCGCAAUGGGCGAAAGCCUGACGCAGCCACGCCGCGUGAGUGAUGAAGGCCUUCGGGUCGUAAAC